UGGAGCUGAAGCGGUCCUUCCACAUGAGCGUCAAAAUCCAUCGUUGCGUCUUUCCAUUCAAGAAGGACUCGCUGAUAAAGAAAAUGCUCGAUUAAGCCUUCAAGAAUUGGAAGCUCUUGAUGAAAAGAGGCUAGAAGCUCGACAAAGCCUUGAAUGUUAUCAAGCUCGCCUGUCUCAAUCUUUUAACAAAAUGAUACGCCUUAGAUCUUUCCAAGUGGGUGACCAAGUUAUUGUGGUCAAAAGGCCUAUUAUUACCUCUCGUCGAUCUGGGGGCAAAUUCUGUGCUAAGUGGGAUGGACCAUAUAUCGUACAAGAGGUAUACUCAAGUGGCUCUUACAAGAUAGUUGACUCAGAAGGUUUGUGGAUUGGCCCCAUCAAUGGGAAAUUCAUGAAGAGAUACUAUCCUUGAAGAAAACAAAAUAUGCUCCUUAACACGUGAGCACAAAUUGCAUGUUACUCAUAGCCUGCAAGAGUAUAAACUGUGCACAGUCCAAAAAAAGUCCGCUAGGUUGAAAACCUCAAAAAAGGUAGUAGGCAAAAGUUAGGACAUCCAAAAAAAUAAAGUCCUCUAGGUUGAAACCUCGAAAAAGGCGGCCUAGGCAAAAGUUAGGACACAAAAAAAACAACAAAAACAAACUCACUCAUUUUGAACUACGUAUCUCUUCACCGAGGUACGUAGGCAGCUUAGAGUUUCAUUCUUAGUUCAGUCAUACGAGUUCAAAAAAUACAUAUUACCCAAGUCAUUCUUCAAAUGAGGUAUGAUGGAAUAUGUUUCACUUGAUUGACACUUGAAAAUUGGUUGUACAUGUAUUCAUUCGUUGAACUCUCUAUCUUAUCUUGAUGGCUCAGCGGGAGCACGUCCUUUAUGUCAAAUUGAGGUCUUUGAUGGAGUGAUUGUAGUUUCUUUAAUAAGAGGCUAAAUAUUCAAGUUGAAAGCUCCAAUUCUAAGUCAAGUUAAUUUUGUCAAGUCUAUUACAUCAUCAAUUUGAAGUACUCAAGCAUGCUAGGUCUUAAAGUUGCAGCAUUCAAGUGAGCCAAGUUACUAAAUCCGUAAAGCAUUAAAAACAAAUACGCUUACUCGUUAUAAACUGCAGAAUGACUUGAUCCACUUCACCAAGAUUGGUACCUUCAAGACAAUUAUAGUCUUUGGCAUGCUGCAAAGUUUUUAAGACCGUCAUUUCUUUUAGCCGAAUUCUUCAAGUUUGCCAAGUCGCCAAGAGGAAUUAUUCGUAUUUUCUAUAUCAUUGGUUUAAAGUCUUUGCAUGCUAAAUCUUCAAGUUGAAGUUGAGUUAAAUUCUUCUAGUCUGCUAAGUCUUCAACCAUCCAAAUCUUCUACGUCUUCAAGUUGAAUUCUUCAAAGUGGCUACAUCUUCAAGUUUAACUCUUACACUUUAACCUUCAAUUUGAAUAUUAAAGUUAAAGUCUUCACAUCCACUAAGUCUUCAAGUCGAAGUCUUCAAAUCUCUCAAGUCUUCUAGUAGAAGCCUUCAAGUAUGCCAUGUCCUCAAGUUGAAAUAUAUAAAGGAUUCUUCGACUGUGAGGUUAUCUUUACUAAAGUAGUAUCUUUGUAAUUGAUUUCUUCUUCUACCUGCAAAAAAAAAGGAGAAACAUGUCUAUAUAAAUGAGAUCAUAAAAUUAAAUGUGAAGAUUGAAGUUGAAGAGAUAUUCUUGGUGGUCACCUUUUUGAAAAUAAAUAAAUCAUGAUUCAUGCAAUAUCUGAUUCAUGUAUCUCGAAAUGAGGACGAGUUUUCUUUACUUUACGCCAAAAGGUCAAAUCUUUUAGUAGUGAAGUAAAAUCUUCAAGUUAGACUAUAUAAUGGACUUUGCUGGUCUUCGUCUUGGACAAAAUAUAGUCUUCCGCUUAGACAGUGUAAUGGUAUUAUCCUCGGACAAAGUAAAGUCUUCAUCCUAGAGGGUUGUCUUCGCAUUGGACAAUGUAUAGUCUUCAUCUUAGACGGUGUAAUGGUCUUAGCCUCGGACAAAGUAAAGUCUUCAGCUUGGAUGAUUGUCUUCUAUUCAGAUAAAAUAAAUCUUUGGCUCAUACAGUGUAAUGGUCUUUGCCUCAGAUAAAAGUAAAGACUUUGGCUUAGAUGGUGUAAUGAUAUUUGCUUAAGAUAAAGUAAAAUCUUUAGCUUAGACGGUGUAAUAGUCUAUGCCUCAGAUAAAAUGAAGUUAAAUCUUCAAACAAGAUGAAUUCAUUAGCUUAGACGGUGCAAUGGUCUUCGCUUCAAAUAAAAUGAAGUCUUUGGCUCAGACGGUGUAAUGGUCUUCGCUUCAAACAAAAUAAAUCUUUGGCUCAUGUAGUGUAAUGAUAUUUGCCUCAGAUAAAAGUAAAGUCUUUGAAUUAGAUGGUGUAAUGAUCUUUACCUAAGAUAAAGUAAAAUCUCUGGCUUAGACGGUGUAAUGGUCUAUACCUCAGAUAUAAUGAAGUUAAAUCUUCAAACAAGAUGAAGUCUUUAGCUUAGACGGUUUAAUGGUCUUUACUUCAAAUAAAAUAAAUCUUUGGACCAGACAGUAUAAUGGUCUAUGCCUCAAAUAAAAUGAAGUUAAAUAUUCAAACAAGAUGAAAUCUUUAGCUUAGACGCUGAUGGUCUUCGCUUCAGACAAAAUAAAUCUUUGGCCUAGAUGGUGUAAUGGUUUAUGCCAAAGAUAAAAUGAAGUUAAAUAUCCAAACAAGAUGAAACCAUUAGCUUAGAUGGUUUAAUGGUCUUCGCUUCAAACGAAAUAAAUCAUUGGCAUAUACAGUGUAAUGGUGUAUUCCUUAGAUAAAAUAAAGUUAAAUCUUCAAAUAAAUAAAGUCUAGCUCAGAUGGUAUAAUGGUCUUCACUACAGACAAAAUAAGUCUUUAGCUCAGACGAUAUUAUGAUCUUCGCUUCAGAUAAAAUAAAAAAUCUUUGGUUCAGACAAAAUAAGGGUAUUCGCCUCAGAUAAAAUAAAUCCAAAUCUUCAAACAAAAGGUUUGUAAGGUUCUCCCACUUAAUGUAUAUAAAGUGAAGAAAGGUAGAGAAAUAAAGUACUACAUGUCAUAAAAAGGGACUAGGAAGAGUUUGGCAUAUACCUGUUGUGCUAUUAAAAAAAGAAGAAGCUUGAAACAAAGAAGAAAGCAUAAGAAAAGAAGAAGAAAUUACCUUCGCGUUAAUGCCUCCAAGUCGUCAAAAGUAGAAUCAAAGCAAUUUGCAAACGCUGAAAUUGG
Molecule: long non-coding RNA, 3193 nt
Filed under: Nicotiana benthamiana
Lineage: Eukaryota; Viridiplantae; Streptophyta; Magnoliopsida; Solanales; Solanaceae
Description: long non-coding RNA (NBEN_LNC006596)
Source: RNAcentral